UACGUAGGGUGCGAGCGUUGUCCGGAAUUAUUGGGCGUAAAGAGCUUGUAGGCGGUUUGUCGCGUCUGCUGUGAAAAUCCGGGGCUCAACCCCGGACUUGCAGUGGGUACGGGCAGACUAGAGUGUGGUAGGGGAGACUGGAAUUCCUGGUGUAGCGGUGAAAUGCGCAGAUAUCAGGAGGAACACCAAUUGCGAAGGCAGCUCGCUGGGACGUUAUUGACGCUGAGACGCGAAAGCGUGGGGAGCAAACAGG
RNAcentral lists this ribosomal RNA (253 nucleotides) under uncultured bacterium. RNAcentral describes it as "partial 16S ribosomal RNA". It matches the Rfam family "Bacterial small subunit ribosomal RNA", at positions 524 to 776 of the family's 1533-position model. The record is from RNAcentral.